UUUGCGGCCACAACAUGUUGAAACACCAGUCCAAGUAAGAUCACAGAAGUUAAGCAACACCGAGCCUGGUCAUUACGCAGAUAGGUGACCGCCUAGGAAUAGCAGGUGCCGUAAG
This is a non-coding RNA of Acanthosepion pharaonis, 115 nucleotides long. The record is from the annotation of a GenBank genome assembly. NCBI's taxonomy places the organism in Eukaryota, Metazoa, Mollusca, Cephalopoda, Sepiida, Sepiidae.